AAAGUGCGUAUUCUGUCAAUCACUUGGUCAUUUCGGCUUGUGGAUGGCCUACCAGAACUUGCUUCACUCUCCACUGAUGGGUCGCUCAUUUUUGAAGUGGUUAUGCCACUCGUUUAUUUGUGUUAUGCUUAUGACAUCAUCGCCCAAAGCCUGCUGAAUCUUGGGUAUCACCAAGCUUUUGGCCAAACUUGAUGCAAUACCUUUGCUCAAGUCAUAACGUCAUAAAAUAAGGUCAGAUAUUUUUUGAAUGCAAGUCAUACACGUAUUAAAGUAUAAACAAAUAUAUAAAAAGGUAAAACAUAAAUGCAUUUAUACAUUUAUGUAUUUAUUUGUCUUAAUUCAUGUUUGGUUCUCCAUACUGCCAGAGGAAACCAUAUCUGGACUUUCAUAUACUCUGACCUGGAGAGGUGGCUGUCAGUACUAGUACCAGAUCCAUACCACCUGCCAGAUCAGUUCUACGUGUGCGCACAGAUGGUUUUGGAUUAGCAACGUUGCCUUAAUGAGUAUUUCUUAGCAAAACAGAAUCUUGCUGUAAACCACUUAAACAUAAAGUAUGUAGUUGUUUCAACUGGCUGUUAAAUUUUUCAAAUGUGUGCAUGUGCAGAGCAGAUCUGGCAGGCGGUACAGAUCCUUACAGUGGGCAUUCUAGUGAGGGGGCGAGGCAACCAGCAGCCCCUUUCCAGGCACAUUAAUGGAUCAGCUGGUCUGAAGCUGUAUUUACGACACCUGGUGACUUGUGUUAUCUUGUGACACAUUGCAUGAAUUUUCAGUUGAGCCCAUCAAAACACUGAUGAUUACACGCUUGGACAGCAUAUACUUGAAAAACCUAUUCAGUGAAAA
This is a long non-coding RNA of Thalassophryne amazonica, 840 nucleotides long. RefSeq lists it as uncharacterized. The transcript has 2 exons. Lineage: Eukaryota; Metazoa; Chordata; Actinopteri; Batrachoidiformes; Batrachoididae. The record is from RefSeq and is a predicted model, not a curated record.